UUUCCGUAGGUGAACCUGCGGAAGGAUCAUUGCCGUGACCCUUAAACAAAACAGACCGCGAACGAGUCACCCGUGCCGCCGGGCUCCGGCCCGGCACGCUGCCCCCCCCGAACCUCCCGCGGGGAAGGGGGGGCCGCGAAAAAGAACCCACGGCGCCCCGGGCGCCAAGGAACACCAGUACUACCUCCUGCCCCGCGGAGCGGUCGGCCCGCCUUCCGCUCCCAGGGCAGCGGUUACACCUUAAUCGACACGACUCUCGGCAACGGAUAUCUCGGCUCUC
Molecule: unclassified non-coding RNA, 280 nt
Filed under: soil metagenome
Description: partial contains small subunit ribosomal RNA, internal transcribed spacer 1, and 5.8S ribosomal RNA
Source: RNAcentral